UGGAUCCAGACUUUGAUUAUGGCUCAGGAUGAACGCUAGCUACAGGCUUAACACAUGCAAGUCGAAGGGAAACGGCAUCGAAAGCUUGCUUUUGAUGGGCGUCGACCGGCGCACGGGUGAGUAACGCGUAUCCAACCUGCCCACCACUUGGGGAUAACCUUGCGAAAGUAAGACUAAUACCCAAUGACGUCUCUAGAAGACAUCUGAAAGAGAUUAAGGAUUUAUCGGUGAUGGAUGGGGAUGCGUCUGAUUAGCUCGUUGGCGGGGUAACGGCCCACCAAGGCGACGAUCAGUAGGGGUUCUGAGAGGAAGGUCCCCCACAUUGGAACUGAGACACGGUCCAAACUCCUACGGGAGGCAGCAGUGAGGAAUAUUGGUCAAUGGGCGAGAGCCUGAACCAGCCAAGUAGCGUGCAGGAUGACGGCCCUAUGGGUUGUAAACUGCUUUUACAAGGGAAUAAAGUGAGUCUCGUGAGACUUUUUGCAUGUACCUUAUGAAUAAGGACCGGCUAAUUCCGUGCCAGCAGCCGCGGUAAUACGGAAGGUCCGGGCGUUAUCCGGAUUUAUUGGGUUUAAAGGGAGCGUAGGCCGGAGAUUAAGCGUGUUGUGAAAUGUAGACGCUCAACGUCUGCACUGCAGCGCGAACUGGUUUCCUGGAGUACGCACAAAGUGGGCGGAAUUCGUGGUGUAGCGGUGAAAUGCUUAGAUAUCACGAAGAACUCCGAUUGCGAAGGCAGCUCACUGGAGCGCAACUGACGCUGAAGCUCGAAAGUGCGGGUAUCGAACAGGAUUAGAUACCCUGGUAGUCCGCACGGUAAACGAUGGAUGCCCGCUGUUGGUCUGAACAGGUCAGCGGCCAAGCGAAAGCAUUAAGCAUCCCACCUGGGGAGUACGCCGGCAACGGUGCAACUCAAAUGAAUUGACGGA
This 926-nucleotide ribosomal RNA is filed under the name uncultured Bacteroidota bacterium. Its description in RNAcentral is "bacterial SSU rRNA". It matches the Rfam family "Bacterial small subunit ribosomal RNA", at positions 1 to 917 of the family's 1533-position model. Lineage: Bacteria; Pseudomonadati; Bacteroidota. The record is from RNAcentral.